This 28-nucleotide non-coding RNA is filed under the name Bombyx mori (domestic silkworm). The record is from RNAcentral. Lineage: Eukaryota; Metazoa; Arthropoda; Insecta; Lepidoptera; Bombycidae.
UCAUCCGGUACUCUGUAGGCUCCUGUGA